AUUGAACGCUGGCGGAAUGCUUUACACAUGCAAGUCGAACGGCAGCACGGGGAGCUUGCUCCUGGUGGCGAGUGGCGAACGGGUGAGUAAUAUAUCGGAACGUAUCCAAUAAUGGGGGAUAACUAAGCGAAAGCUUGGCCUAAUACCGCAUACGCCCUGAGGGGGAAAGCUAGGGAUCUUCGGACCUGGCGUUGAUGGAG
Molecule: ribosomal RNA, 200 nt
Filed under: uncultured bacterium
Lineage: Bacteria
Description: partial 16S ribosomal RNA
Rfam family: Bacterial small subunit ribosomal RNA
Source: RNAcentral